UAUCCUACGGGAGGCAGCAUUUUUGUCUCUUGCACCCUUGUUUCAACCCUGAUGCAGCGACGCCGCGUGAGUGAAGAAGUAUUUCGGUAUGUAAAGCUCUAUCAGCAGGGAAGAAAAAAGACGGUACCUGACUAAGAAGCCCCGGCUAACUACGGGCCAGCAGCCGCGGUAAUACGUAGGGGGCAAGCGUUAUCCGGAUUUACUGGGUGUAAAGGGAGCGUAGACGGCAAUACAAGUCGGAAGUGAAAUACCCGGGCUUAACCUGGGAACUGCU
RNAcentral lists this ribosomal RNA (274 nucleotides) under uncultured bacterium. Its description in RNAcentral is "partial 16S ribosomal RNA". It matches the Rfam family "Bacterial small subunit ribosomal RNA", at positions 335 to 625 of the family's 1533-position model. The record is from RNAcentral.